GACGAACGCUGGCGGCGUGCUUAACACAUGCAAGUCGAACGGAAAGGCCCUGCUUGCAGGGUACUCGAGUGGCGAACGGGUGAGUAACACGUGGGUGAUCUGCCCUGCACUUCGGGAUAAGCCUGGGAAACUGGGUCUAAUACCGGAUAGGAGCCAUUUUUAGUGUGAUGGUUGGAAAGUUUUUUUCGGUGUAGGAUGAGCUCGCGGCCUAUCAGCUUGUUGGUGGGGUAAUGGCCUACCAAGGCGGCGACGGGUAGCCGGCCUGAGAGGGUGGACUGCCACAUUGGGACUGAGAUACGGCCCAGACUCCUACGGGAGGCAGCAGUGGGGAAUAUUGCACAAUGGGCGCAAGCCUGAUGCAGCGACGCCGCGUGGGGGAUGACGGCCUUCGGGUUGUAAACUCCUUUCGCUAGGGACGAAGCUUUUUGUGACGGUACCUAGAUAAGAAGCACCGGCUAACUACGUG
Molecule: ribosomal RNA, 466 nt
Filed under: uncultured bacterium
Lineage: Bacteria
Description: partial 16S ribosomal RNA
Rfam family: Bacterial small subunit ribosomal RNA
Source: RNAcentral